Prosopis cineraria is the source of this 8947-nucleotide RNA transcript. It is a transcript of the gene named pentatricopeptide repeat-containing protein At1g06710, mitochondrial, with no coding region annotated. NCBI's taxonomy places the organism in Eukaryota, Viridiplantae, Streptophyta, Magnoliopsida, Fabales, Fabaceae. The record is from RefSeq and is a predicted model, not a curated record. The transcript has 3 exons.
UACACUAACCUAUUGUCAUGAACACGACAACCUGCUUUGCUCCCUCUUCCAUGUCCGUCCCCCAGAGGCCAGUGUGUAGCUCAAGUUUGAUUCUUUUGCAGGGACGGGCACAAUGUCAUAACCCUCUCCUAAAACCUAGUUCCAACGCAUACCUUUUGAUCUUUUUUGUCCAUCAUCAUUAUUAUGAGCAAAACAGAGUUGAAGAUUUUACUCUCUCAGUCUUUACGCUCUCUGAAAUCCUCCGCUAAAUACUCUCUUUCGUCAUACUUUUUCAAAUUUCCAUACACCAUUGCUCGAUCUUUUGCCACUUCAUCGGAGGACAAUCUUGAAGGGUUGCUUCAUCCUGAUGACACUUUUUUACAGGAUAGUUCUCGCCCUUCCAUCGAUUUGGCAGAGGAAUACUCGUUUUUACGCAAUGGGUUGUCGGAUUCGAGUGGCGAAUGCGGGCCUUCGUUGUUAAAGGUUUAUUCUGGUGAGUUGUCUGAUGAGGCUGUAUUGAUGUCGAAUGCUAUUAGGAGCCAAAGGGAUGAGUUUGGUUAUGAAACCCAGAAAUUUCUCAGGCAGUUUCGGGGAAAAUUGAACGAAACUUUAGUUGUAGAGGUGUUGAAUCAUGUGAAGUAUCCUGAACUGUGUGUUAAGUUUUUCUUAUGGGCGGGGCGUCAAAUCGGUUAUAGUCAUACACUAGCGGUGUAUAAUGCUCUUUUGGAUAUAUUGUGUUGUAACGAUGAUGAGAGAGUUCAGGAAAAAUUCUUAAGAGAAAUAAAGGAUGAAGAUAGCGAAUUGCUCCGGAAGUUGCUCGAUGUUCUGGUAAGGAAGUGUUGCCGUAAUGGGUUGUGGAGUAUGGCGUUGGAAGAACUAGGGAGACUGAAAGAUUAUGGGUACAAGCCCUCGAAGACAACUUAUAACGCCUUGGUUCAAGUUUUCCUUAAAGCUGGCAAAUUAGAUACGGCUUAUUUGGUUUACAAGGAGAUGUCCAAUUAUGGAUUUGAUAUGGAUGGGUUUACUCUGAGUUGUUUUGCCUAUUCCCUCUGCAAAGCAGGGAGGCUAAGGGAUGCUCUUACAUUGAUAGAGAAGGAGGAAUAUGUUCCAGAUACUGUUUUUUAUAAUAGGAUGAUCUCUGGAUUAUGUGAAGCUUCACAUUUUGACGAAGCUAUGGAUAUCUUAAACAGAAUGCGUUCUGACGGAUGCAUUCCUAAUGUUGUGACUUAUAGGAGUUUGCUUUCUGGUUGUUUAAAGAAAGGACAGCUGGGCAGAUGCAAGAGAAUUCUUAGUUUGAUGAUUACUGAAGGCUGUUACCCAAGUCGUGAGAUAUUUAAUUCUCUAGUACAUGCUUAUUGCAAAUCAAGGGAUUACCCUUAUGCCUAUAAAUUGUUUAAGAAAAUGAAUAAAUGUGGGUGUCAGCCGGGCUACUUGGUUUACAAUAUAUUGAUUGGUGGUAUAUGUGGCAAUGAAGAAAUCCCAUCCUUAGAUAUGUUAGAAUUGGCUGAAAAAGCUUACACUGAGAUGCUUAAUGCAGGAGUUGUUUUAAAUAAGAUCAAUGUUAGCAACUUCGCACGGUGUCUCUGUGGGGCUGGAAAAUUUGAUAAAGCUUUUAAGAUUAUACAUGAAAUGAUGAGCAAGGGUUUCAUUCCUGAUGAUAGUACAUAUUCCAAAGUGAUUGGUUUCCUUUGUGAUGUCUCAAAGGUGGAGAAGGCAUUUUUGUUGUUUGAAGAGAUGAAAAGAAAUGGUAUUGUUCCUAGUGUUUAUACAUAUACGAUUUUAAUUGAUAGCUUCUGCAAAGCUGGUCUCAUUGAACAGGCUCGCAAAUGGUUUGAUGAAAUGGUGAGAAAUGGUUGCACUCCUAAUGUGGUGACUUAUACUGCUCUUAUUCAUGCAUACCUGAAAGCCAGAAAGGUGUCCAAUGCAAAUGAACUGUUUGAGAUGAUGUUGGUUGAAGGAUGCAAGCCCAAUGUUAUAACCUAUACAGCUUUAAUUGAUGGCCUUUGCAAGGCUGGGCAGGUUGAAAAAGCAUGCCAAAUCUAUGCCAGAAUGAGAGGUAACAUAGAAACUUCAGAUAUGGACAUUUAUUUUAGGUCAAAUGACAACAACUAUGAAAAACCAAAUGUUAUUACGCAUGGGGCUUUGGUGGAUGGUCUAUGUAAAGCAAAACGGGUCAAAGAGGCCCAUGAACUGUUGAAUUCUAUGUCUGUUGAAGGUUGUGAGCCUAACCAUAUAGUGUAUGAUGCUCUUAUAGAUGGCUUUUGCAAGGCUGGAAAGCUUGAGGAUGCCCAAGAGGUGUUUGCCAAGAUGUCAGAGCGUGGAUACAGCCCAAAUUUGUAUACCUAUGGCUCCUUAAUUGAUGUGCUGUUUAAAGAUAAAAGGUUGGAUCUUGUUUUGAAGGUCUUGUCCAAGAUGCUAGAGAAUUCUUGUGUUCCCAAUGUUGUUAUUUACACAGAGAUGAUAGACGGUCUCUGCAAAGUUGGAAAGACAGAUGAGGCUUACAAGCUCUUGCUUAAGAUGCAGGAAAAGGGAUGCAAUCCAAAUGUUGUAACUUAUACUGCAAUGAUUGAUGGAUUUGGGAAAUUAGGUAAAAUUGAAAUGUGCCUUGAGCUAUUGAGAGAUAUGUGCUCUAAAGGUUGUGCUCCAAACUUUAUAACCUACAGGGUCAUGAUAAAUCAUUGUUGUUCUGCUGGCCUUCUUGAUGAGGCUCACAAACUUUUAGAUGAAAUGAAUCAAACAUAUUGGCCAAAACAUAUCUCAAGCUAUCGUAAAAUUGUUGAAGGUUUUAGCAGAGAAUUUAUAACAUCUUUUGGGCUUUUAAAUGAGUUGGCUGACAAUGAAUCAGUACCUAUGCUUCCCGUUUACAGAGUUUUAAUUGAUAAUUUUGUCAAGGCUGAUAGACUAGAGGCUGCUUUAAAGUUACUAGAAGAAGUUCCCUUGUCUUCAAGUUUUGAAGAUGCCAAUAAACAUUUAUAUGCCUCAUUGAUUGAGAGUCUGUCACAUGCAAGUAAGGUUGACAAAGCAUUUGAGCUAUAUGCAACCAUGAUAAGUAGGAAUAUUGUUCCGGAGCUUAGCACAUUUGUUCAUCUCAUCAAAGGCCUUACUAGGGUUGAUAGGUGGCAAGAAGCACUUGAAUUAUCAGAUAGCAUAUGUCAAAUGCAGAACGUCCGUUGGCUUCUCAAAGAGACCCCUGGUCAACCUAAAACAUCUGUUGCGCAGACUGGAAGUGACUGAUGGAACACGAGUACAAUCAGGAAUAGGAAGAUCUGGUCAAGCAGGUAUAGUUUUUCUGGUUGAAAGGGUGAAUUUGCAUGUUUUUCUGAGAAUUGCAUGAAUGCAGUUUGUGGCAAACCUGGGAAUGGUGCAGCAUGUGAUCGGUCCUUCCCUUCCCACAGUUGACAUAAAAAAGAUUGAAGUAGUGAUUGUAUAUCAUUGUGAAGUUCUCUAGAUAAAAGAUUAAAAUGGUGAAGGCCUCUUAGAUUAAAAUCUUGGAGCUUAAUAUGAAAUGGUUUGAACCUUCAUCAUCAGCCAUUCGCUUUUAAUAGUUUUGCUGGUUGAAAUAGUGAACUUGCAUGUUUUAAUGAGGAUUACAUAAAGUAGUUUGUGGGCAAACAUGGGAAUGGAGGAGCAGUUGAUUGGUCCCUCCCCUCCCACAGUUGACAUAAAAAGGUUAAAGUAAUGAUUGUAUCAUUGGUGAAGUUCUCUAGAUAAAAGAUUAAAAUGUUGAAGUUCUCUAAGAUUAAAAUCUUAGAGUUUAUUAUAAUUGUAUCACUACUUGUGAUGUGAAAAUGUGCUUUUGCACUUAGGCCCCUUUGUAUCAUCAAUUGCAUAGGCAAUGGACUUUCUACUUUGAAACAGCUUGGAGAGAGCUAUCUAAGUUUGUAAGACUGUGACUACUUAUCUGUAAUGGGCAAUUUUACUGGAAAAAAAAAAAGAAAGAAUAAAAGGAAAAGAGACUGCAAAUGCACAGGCAAGGUUUUUUUAUGGUGCAGAUCAUAUUCAUUUGCUCCCUUGCUUUGGUGCAUCAGCUUAUGUUCUCUGGUCUGAUUUCAAGGACCCAUUGCUGGUUGGGCAUCUGAAACUGCGUGCCAGGUUCAUUCUCAAUUAGAUUCAAAGGUCUUUGACCCCUUGUACAUCUUUUAAUUCUAUUUCCAACUAUUUGGUAAAUUGGAAAUUCAACGAUAUGAGUUCUUGCAUUAAUGGGUGUUUUGCUGGGAACAAAAGGGUGUGAAGAUUGUAGAGAGAGAGAGAGAGAGAGAGAUUGAAGAUUUUUUUUUUUUGGGGAUAUGUGUCUACUGUCUAACAUAUCUAUUAGAUGGCAUUUACUUUUUGGCAUGUUUUUUCUUUUAGGGAAAACAUAACUUAGGAUCCUUGCAUUUUGUUCACGUUUUGUUACUAUAGGUCUCUACACUUUUUUUGGAUAAUCGAGGUUCCUAUGCUUUUGUUUUUCGGUGUCAUAGGUCCCUCCUUAGUCCCUACACUUUGUUCAUGGAAGGACUUAGAAUACCAAAAAAAUAAAAGUAUGAGGACCUAGAACACAAAAAAAAAAAAAAAGUGUGGGGACCUAUAGCAAAAUGCGAAAAAAAUACAAGGACCCUAAGUAAUGUUUUCCCAUUCUUUUAUCAAUGUUAGUUUGCUUCCUUAUUCAGCUUAGAUGGUCAAUCUUGUUUUGUUAUCAUUUCCCUCGUAUCUACCCAUCGGAGGAUAUUUUCUAAUUUCCAAUUAUGUUCCCAGAUUUCGUGGCAUUUGGAAUUGGUUGUUCUUUAGCCACCAGCCCUCUAUUUGUAGUUAUAUAUUUCACAGCAUGAAAAACUCUGAGGUGCCUUAAUGGUAUGAGAAAUCAGAGACCAAAGAGUUUGACUCGAAUGUAUGAUUGCCUUUGGCUCAAUGAUGCAAUUUAAUGCCAAAAAUGCUGGGACCACCUUCUGACAGCAUCACAUAAUUCAUUCAGACUGUACUCUCCUGUCACGAGGCAUGAACUAAAUGGUAACGAUUACCUUCAAUGAUCCCAGUGUUCUCAUGAGUUUUUGCUACAAACAGAAGGAUGAUUGUCUCUAGUGAUAUUUCACAUACAAAAAUAUGGGUGUUUCAAGCACAAAAAAAGAAAAAAGAAAAUGAUCAUGUUUUUGUUGAUCAACUCAAGGAUGAAUGAAUUUGGUGGCAAUUUUCUCUUUUGCAAGGCUCGGACAAGGAGAUCUGCGAGGCAUUCAAGGAGACAUGUUCUAUCUGUGAAGAACACUCUUGUCCUUGAGAUCGAGUUUCACCUUCAUGUGUUGAGGCAAGGAGAUUGAACUGUCACAGUUUUAUAAUUCUCUUAUUGUCAGCAUCAGCUUGAUAUGUUUGAAACGCAUCAUUGGAGUUGUAGUAGUGAUGAUGCAACCUGCUACAAGAAGCUUUGGAAAAGGAAAGAGUAUACAAAUUAUUGAAAGAAGCUUUUGCAGAGGUGAAAGGGGAAAAGGGCCAGAAAGCAACUUCUUAGUGGACUCCAAACCUCCAACAGUUAUUGCAUCAUUAGCCUUGGCGGCACACAGUACUCAAAACAAUCAUUAGAAGCAGAAGGGUUUAAAGUCAUGGAGAAAUUACAUGGACAGCCGCCGAAACUGGAAGCCUAAAUAAAGGAUUGACAGUCUUAGAUCCAAGGCUUAAUGGUUACUAGUGAAGAGAAAUUUCAACCUGAGUCUCCUCCUUUUAGGCAAGAAUAAUGGGAGCUUCUCCAGAAAGUGUUUGAAGAUCAGGGAUAGAACACCGGUGAGAGACUUGUUUGGGCAGACAUCCUUGCUUAGUCAAGUAAUUUCUGGUGCAAAAGUCCUAUGAUUGGGCUGUAGACUCGGAAGAAAAUAUUACAUGAUUGGCUGCCUUGUUCAGGACUUAGCCCCAUGAACUAGACUUGAUUGCAUGAAAUUCAAGGUCUUGGUGUCAAGGAGGCAAAUUGGCAAUGCAAGGGUUCACAGAGUUUUAACAGUUGAUUUCCACUUGUUCAGUCCACAAUACAGCCUUAGAGUUAAUCUCAGCUAGUAGCAUCACUCUUAUAUUUGGAUUUGUGCAUUGAUCUUAUAAACAUUUACAUACAGCAUAUAUUAAAGAAAAAGAUAGGGGAAAAAAAAAGUGAGUCUUACACACGUUUAUUCUUUUGUAUCACUGUCAUAGAUUAUCCUCCUAAAAUUACUAAGUGGAAACGAUUCUUGCAUUCUUAGAUCAAGUAAUAGAAGAGACGGACAACUAAUAAUAGUAUAUAAAUGGUGUAUAACAAAUAAAUAUCUUAUUUUUUGUCAUUAAAUAUCUUUGUUUCUCCAUGGAGCAGUGAAUUUAAUCAAGUUUUAGUUCAUGUAAUAUGAUUUAAAACCUAGCAUUGAGACAUGUAAAAAUAUGAGCAUAAAAAAGCUUGGAAGCAAGCACAAUCUAGAAUCUUACAAGUGAGGAUUUGACAGAGGUUCAGGCAAAGCCUAAAUAUGAAUAGAGAUGCGGGUCACAUAAGUGGUUGCUUUAAAUUAUGUGGUUGUGUUAGGCUUAGUAAUGAUUGAUCAUGAGUUAGAUACUUGACCGUACUGCAUGAUCAACUAAAAUGUGUAAAUGUUUGAGUUGAAUGAUGUAUGUAUGUUGAGUAUUAUGUUUAGAAAGUAUAAUAAUAAACAAGUGAUCAUAUGAAUAGGAAAUGGUCCAAGAUGUGAAAGUUAAAAAAAAAAAAACAUAAGUUAGCAAAUCCCAAUGAAUUUCUUGGGAAAGAAAACAAAGAGGAAUAGACGAAGAUGUUAAAAGAUGAACAUUAUACCAAUAAUGGUAUGAUGGAAUGAAUAUGUUUCCCCAACUAUUUAGAUACUCAAUAAAGUUUGGGUUUGAUAAAGUACCUAUGAUGUGAGGUACAUGAAUAAGGUACUUGGUUAAAUAAUAAAUUUUUAGAUGUGAUUUCUUGACAUGAUGCUUAAGUGAUGACAUGUUAGUAGAAGAGUUAUUGUGAUAAGUAAGAUUUUUUUUGAAAAACCUAAAAAUAGUUUAUUGCUAGACCUAGUAAGAGAAAGUCUUGGCCGUUGAGUUUUCCCAGGAGGGUGGGAAUUGGUCAUUUGAGAGAAAAAGAAAGUGCAAUCGAGGCAAGCCAAAGAGGAGUUGACCUUACUCCAAUAAAAGUAUAAAGUAAAAGGUGGCCAAGAAUAAUAUAGGGAUAAGAUAUCCCUUGAGGCUAACUAGUACUAAAAAAGGUUUGAAAGAACAUUUUCUUACGCUACAAGUAACUAUCAAGUCACUGUCAUGUUCAGUAGCUAGACAAAUACUACUACCUCAGUAAAAGAUGGGUCAAUUAGAGAGACAAUGAUGAUAGAUUCUCAUGAAAAAAUAUAGGUAGUCAGUAACUUAGAAUUAAGACACUCCCUAGCUAAAGGCAAUUAAUGACUAGAUAUCAGAGAGGUAUAUAGUUAAGUCAGGCAAGUAGGGGUAUGAGCUUGUGCUUUGACAUAAAGGUAUGGUGGCGACCUUAACGUUGAGAGAGUUGAGGUAGCUUUGAGAGAAUUGACGCAAUAGAAUGAGUUCCCUCUCUACAUUGUCUAUAAGUAAUAGAAAUGGUAAGACUCAUAAGAGAUGAAGAAUCAAUGAGACAAGGCGAGCAUGACAUAAGUAUAAUGUUAAGCUUAGUGGCCACAAAGAUGAAUAACUGGCUCAAAGAGUUUGAUAUGUACAGUAAAAGAAUAAAUAAGAAGGCCUAAGGAAGUUUGCAAGCUAAGGAAGUAGACAAGAUGUUUAAGUUGAAGAGAAUAAGGAAGUCAAGGGGUGGUGAUUAUUUAUCAAGAAAAGUAUAAAUGAAAAAAAAAAUAUUACCUAAUUGAGACCAAACAAUGACUCAAGUUUCCAUUGAAAGCAGAACAACAAGUCAAGCAAGUAGAUGUAAGUAAGAUUUGGCAGAGUUUGAAGCUUUAAGUCUUAAACCUGCAGAUGUAUUCAAGCAAGCUAUAUAUGAGAUAGGAAUGUAAGAAGAAUAGAAAGAGUUACAAAUAAAAUGAAUAGAUGGAGUAUAAAGAGUUAAAGCUUCAAGGAAAAGCUAAAAAUGCCUAUGUAAAUAGAAAAGACUUGGUAAAAGUAACAAAGAAGUAUGAAAUAAGAGUAUAAACAGACUUUGGAAAGCAAAAAUUUCAACUCAAAGCCAAGGUGAAGUUAGAAAAGUAAGAAAUGUUUUGGCAUGAAACUAACAACUUAGAUAAAAAAAACAAAUAUUUCAGCAAAGAAUACUACCAUAUAAGCAAGAGACAAUAAAAGAUGGCAGAAGUCAGUAAGUAAAGGAUAAGUAAUAGUGUAAGUAGUAGAGUUUGUGCAAUAAAAGCAUGAAAAGGCAAAUAGUAACAAGAAAGAAUGCCCUAUAUCAAAGAAAGUAGAAAGGCAACAAGUGGAGUCAAAAGAGUAACAACUAAUAUAUUUUCUUAGUAAAGAAAUUUACAUUAUCAAGAAUGACAUGAAUAGAGGUUUAAUCCUUAAAUUUUGAAGGUGAAAUUUUAAUGAGGGAAAAGAAUUGUAACAUCCCAAAUUUUGUGCCUAGAAGCUCAAGAAUAUUGCAAAGUUUGGUAAUCUACUAAGCCCAAUCAAUCUAGAGUCCUUGAAAGUGCAUUGAAAAAGAUAGAAUGACUUUUAGGGACCUCAUAACUUAAAAGUCUUCAUAGGGAAAAAGCGCAAUAUUUUUAUAGACUUCAAGGAAGUGUUUGGAAUUGAGAAAUGAGAAAGUUAAAGUCUAGAAGUGUCCAAAAUAGGGAAACAAAAGAAUAAAUAAGGCUUAAGAGGGUAACAGAGGUAUCUAAGAUUAGUCUUAGAGAAUAAUUAGUAAAGUUCCUGAUUAAUAAGAGACAGAGUUAUUUAACAACUUUAUCCUUACAUCCUAAGUCUUCUAGAGAAGGAUCGCUAUUAGAUCCUAAGGAUCAUAAUAGAUCCAGAAAAGGCUUAGUGAGAUCGUAGUUAGAUUUGGUAGAAAGUUACUAAGCCACAAAGGAAUAGA